Hipposideros armiger (great roundleaf bat) is the source of this 815-nucleotide long non-coding RNA. RefSeq lists it as uncharacterized. The transcript has 3 exons. The record is from RefSeq and is a predicted model, not a curated record. NCBI's taxonomy places the organism in Eukaryota, Metazoa, Chordata, Mammalia, Chiroptera, Hipposideridae.
ACCCCUAGUUGGGCCAGCGUUCUCGCGGCGGACCCGUCACCAAAGUCGCAGGCUGGAGGGCAGGACGCGUGCUAGGCUUAAAACCCGUACCUCACGUCGGGGAAGGUACCCAGGUAGCUGGGCCACCCUCACACCCUGUCAGAAAAGUUGUCUCCGUGGCCUGGCCUUAGGAAGACUCCUCAGAUUUCCUUUAGUUACCUCGCGUCUCAGCCUUGACCAGACAGAGCCUGCCAGGGAGUCUGGAAGAGAAAGGUUUACAUCUUUGUUGAACAACACUGCUCUAGAAUCAUAAUGGUCCUAGCCUGCAGGCACUAGAAGAAACAGUUGCUGGGAUGGAAAACUGGGAGAAAGACAACAUAAUUGCACAAACUUGAGCCUGGGAUUGCCCAAGACUCAGCAGAAGGAAUCCGAAGGUAUAUGUACUUAUAGUCAGAAAGUUUCAGCAAAGAAAACAGGGGUGGGAAGUGACAGAAAAACCAAGACAGAAAACUCUUAAGUGCCAAUAGUAAACGCUUGUAUUAUGGAAAUGUAUGAAGUGGAAUGCAGUUGGUAUGUCAGAUGCCAGAUGAGUAGCCAAAGGGAUAUGGUGCUUCCAGCAGCAAAUUAAGAGGGAUAGGGAGGGGUAAAUGAGAGGAAAAUACCAUUGUAAAUGGGUAACAUAAACAGAAUUAGUUUGUUGGUGUCUUGUAUAAUUUUUUUUUAGAUUCUAAUAGAUGCUUGUUCCAGCAAGUGAAACAAUACAAUGCAAAGAUUAAAGGCAAAGCCUCCCCUGCAUGAGGUUCUGGGGCCGGCCAAGUGGCGCGAUGGUUAAGAAC